RNAcentral lists this long non-coding RNA (242 nucleotides) under Linum usitatissimum (flax). RNAcentral's name for it is "long non-coding RNA (LUSI_LNC000786)". Lineage: Eukaryota; Viridiplantae; Streptophyta; Magnoliopsida; Malpighiales; Linaceae. The record is from RNAcentral.
UGCGAAGAAGAGGCACAUGCCAGAGCCAUCUUCUUCUUUUUCUUCUUCCCUUUAGUUUAGAACAAAGUAUUCAACAACUAGGGAAAAGAAAACCAGAAAACCAAGUUGAGCUAAUAAGACUGGGAAACUGAAUUUGUUCCAGAUUGUGUUUGAGUUAUGGGGAAUGAAUUAGAGAGAAAUGCAGAGCGGUGGAGAGAGUGGAGGAGGAAGAAAGAGUGAGAUGCUUAAUGGUUUUGUUCUCU